AGCUUGGAUUUGGUUGUUGC
Molecule: non-coding RNA, 20 nt
Filed under: Arabidopsis thaliana (thale cress)
Lineage: Eukaryota; Viridiplantae; Streptophyta; Magnoliopsida; Brassicales; Brassicaceae
Source: RNAcentral